Molecule: small nuclear RNA, 107 nt
Organism: Cricetulus griseus (Chinese hamster)
Lineage: Eukaryota; Metazoa; Chordata; Mammalia; Rodentia; Cricetidae
Source: Ensembl
GUGCUUGGUUCGGCAGUACAUACACUAAGAUUGGAACGUUACAGAGAAGAUUAGCAUGGCCCCUGUGAAAGGAUGACACACAAAUUCAUGAGAUGUUCCAUAUGUUU